UACCCCCCACCCCGUCCCGAUUUUUCACAUUUGCUGUCUGGUCCCCCGAGGCUCAGCUCAGCACUGCUGAUGUAAAAAUGCUUUUCUAGUUCUGUGGAGACAAAAGUUCCUGUGCUAAGACUGUCGUCCCCGACACAUUGUGGCACAGUAACAUAAUGCUGGGCGUAUUGCUAAACAAUCACACAGGCCUUCAAGCAGUCUAGCUGCACGUUUGCUUAACAGAUUUCAGUUGAACAGUUUCGCCUGUCCUCUUCUCCUCUGCACAGGCGCUUACUUGUCAGAGGAAGGUGGCAGCUUGAUAAGGAACAUGAUAAUUAGGAACGUGCCAGAAAUCAGGUAUUAAUAGAAGCACUAUUAGAGAGUUUAUGGAUAAUUUAAGAUGCAGCACAUUCUUUCAGUGAGUGCCUUGUCUGUUUAAGAGCAGUAAUUGCCUAUUACUUUGCAGCUUCUGAUGUGCUUGGCUGCAUGACACAUGAAGAUACAGCAUAUAUUUAAAGAACUAACACUAGUUCAAAGUACCUGCUUGCAAUUUUAAACGCAAGAAUCCAAUACACUUCUAAUGGCAGCAAGGAGAUUGGAAAAAGAAAAGAAAAGGAAAAAAGCACAUACAAAACAGCAAAUCAACAACAGCCAGGCUGAGAGUGCUUAGAAAACCCACUGUAAAUUGUGAGGUGAUGGUGAAGCCAGUACAAGUGUCUGUGUCUCUGUUUAGAAUCAGUGGGCUAUCACGCUCUCCAUCGAUCUUCCUCAGCAUGGAUCAUUCCAAGUAAACACAGGAGGACAGCAAGUGCAAUAAAAAGGUGGAACAAUGUUAAUGUUUGCAGAUCCUGUUUCUCAAGAGGAAGGUUUAACUCUUUCUGCACACAGCCACAUUUCAGCCACCUUGCUGUCCCUGUACUUCCUUGUCAUGGCUGGAACUGGAAGCAGGUGGUACUGUGACAACAUAAGAAAACCCAGACUCAGGGUAAUUUCCUCCCACCUGACGGGAAGCUGGGCAUUUCAGAUGUCUCACAAGAAAGCAUAUGGACAUCAGGCUUCCAAUCUGAAUUUGCAAGCCCAGGUAGUUGGGAAAAGGCUUGGAGAAACAUCCAAACUCUCACAUGUUUGUGCGAACUAAAUAUCUAACCAUCUGAGGUCUCCCCUGUGGUGUAUUUAGUCGUGCAACUGUGAUGCCUUUGGUUUCUGUAUUCUGCACCUUUAAAUCUGCAAGGGCUCAGCCGUCUGCAGAGACGGGCAGCCAUUUUGUGUUCAAAUGACUGUAAGUUGUCAGAGGAGCCAUAAACACUGUCU
Chrysemys picta bellii (western painted turtle) is the source of this 1290-nucleotide long non-coding RNA. RefSeq lists it as uncharacterized. The record is from RefSeq and is a predicted model, not a curated record. Lineage: Eukaryota; Metazoa; Chordata; Testudines; Emydidae.